Molecule: small nuclear RNA, 107 nt
Filed under: Myotis davidii
Lineage: Eukaryota; Metazoa; Chordata; Mammalia; Chiroptera; Vespertilionidae
Source: RNAcentral
GUGCUCAAUUCAACAGUACAUUUACUAAAAUUAGAACAAUACAUAGAAUAUUAGCAUGGCCCCAGCACAAGGACAACGUGUACAUUUGUGAAGCAUUUCAUAAAAAA